UUCAAUCCUACAUGGAUAACUGUGGUAAUUCUAGAGCUAAUACAUGCAAUGAAGCCGUCUGACCGUCAAUGGUCAGCGGCGCAGUUAUUAGAUUAAAACCAAUAUAGGCCUUCGGGUCUAUCAAACUUGUGAUGAAUCUGAAUAACCGAAGCUAAGCACAUGGUCUCGUACCGGUGCUAGAUCUUUCAAGUGUCUGAUCUAUCAGCUUGUCGCUAGGUUAUGUUCCUAGCGUGGCUUCGACGGGUAACGGGGUAUCAGGGUCCGAUACCGGAGAGGGAGCCUGAGAAAUGGCUACCACAUCCAAGGAAGGCAGCAGGCGCGCAAAUUACCCACUCCCAGUUCGGGGAGGUAGUGACGAAAAAUAACGAUGCGGGAGCAUAAUGCUUCCCGUAAUCGGAAUGAGUACACUUUAAAUCCUUUAACGAGGAUCAAUUGGAGGGCAAGUCUGGUGCCAGCAGCCGCGGUAAUUCCAGCUCCAAUAGCGUAUAUUAAAGUUGCUGCGGUUAAAAAGCUCGUAGUUGGAUCUGGGUGUUUCGAUGAGUGGUGCAUCUAUUCGAUGUCUACUACUCCAUCGACACCACAAGCCAACCAUGUCUGUCUAUACCCUUCACUGUGGCGUAGAUAAUGGACGGUUGGAACGUUUACUUUGAAAAAAUUAGAGUGCUCAAAGCAGGCGUAUGGCCUUGAAUAAUGGUGCAUGGAAUAAUGGAAUAGGACCUCGGUUCUAUUUGUUGGUGUUUCAAGAGCUCGAGGUAAUGAUAAAGAGGAACAGACGGGGGCAUUCGUAUUGCGACGUUAGAGGUGAAAUUCUUGGAUCGUCGCAAGACGAACUACUGCGAAAGCAUUUGCCAAGAAUGUUUUCAUUAAUCAAGAACGAAAGUUAGAGGUUCGAAGGCGAUCAGAUACCGCCCUAGUUCUAACCAUAAACGAUGCCAACCAGCGAUCUGUCGGUGUUUAUUCUAACGACUCGACAGGCAGCUUCCGGGAAACCAAAGUGCUUAGGUUCCGGGGGAAGUAUGGUUGCAA
RNAcentral lists this ribosomal RNA (1026 nucleotides) under Milnesium sp. GB.096. RNAcentral's name for it is "SSU rRNA". It matches the Rfam family "Eukaryotic small subunit ribosomal RNA", at positions 128 to 1134 of the family's 1831-position model. Lineage: Eukaryota; Metazoa; Tardigrada; Eutardigrada; Apochela; Milnesiidae. The record is from RNAcentral.